CCUUGAUGUUGUCCAGGUUGAAGAGGACAGGUUGAAGAGCCUACCUACCUUGAUGUUAUCCAGGUUGAAGAGGACAGGUUGAAGAGCCUACCUACCUUGAUGUUGACCAGGUUGAGAGGACAGGUUGAAGGGCCUACCUACCUUGAUGUUAUCCAGGUUAAAGAGUCUACCUACCUUGAUGUUGUCCAGGUUGAAGAGGACAGGUUGUAGAGCCUACCUACCUUGAUGUUGUCCAGGUUGAAGAGCCUACCUACCUUGAUGUUGUCCAGGUUGAAGAGGACAGGUUGAAGAGCCUACCUACCUUGAUGUUGUCCAGGUUGAAGAGGACAGGUUGAAGAGCCUACCUACCUUGAUGUUCUCCAGGUUGAAGAGCCUACCUACCUUGAUGUUGUCCAGGUUGAAGAGCCUACCUACCUUGAUGUUCUCCAGGUUGAGAGGACAGGUUGAAGAGCCUACCUACCUUGAUGUUGUCCAGGUUGAAGAGCCUACCUACCUUGAUGUUGUCCAGGUUGAAGAGGACAGGUUGAAGAGCCUACCUACCUUGAUGUUCUCC
Long non-coding RNA from Salvelinus fontinalis (brook trout), 553 nucleotides. RefSeq lists it as uncharacterized. The transcript has 7 exons. The record is from RefSeq and is a predicted model, not a curated record. NCBI's taxonomy places the organism in Eukaryota, Metazoa, Chordata, Actinopteri, Salmoniformes, Salmonidae.